AUACUGACCUGGCAGGGGAGAUAACAGGAUCAUGAAGGUGGUCUUGCCAGGGCGAGGCUUAUCCAUUGCACUACAGAUGUGCUGAUCCCUUUAUUUCCUCAAAUAUGGGAAACUCAACCACAUGAUUUGUGACAGUGGGAGACUGUACCCUCCCC
This 155-nucleotide small nuclear RNA is filed under the name Sorex araneus (European shrew). Its description in RNAcentral is "U1 spliceosomal RNA (ENSSARG00000015398.1)". It matches the Rfam family "U1 spliceosomal RNA". Rfam says of the family: U1 is a small nuclear RNA (snRNA) component of the spliceosome (involved in pre-mRNA splicing). Its 5' end forms complementary base pairs with the 5' splice junction, thus defining the 5' donor site of an intron. Lineage: Eukaryota; Metazoa; Chordata; Mammalia; Eulipotyphla; Soricidae. The record is from RNAcentral.